Ciona intestinalis (vase tunicate) is the source of this 1906-nucleotide non-coding RNA. The record is from RefSeq and is a predicted model, not a curated record. NCBI's taxonomy places the organism in Eukaryota, Metazoa, Chordata, Ascidiacea, Phlebobranchia, Cionidae.
UGACGACGUGGGAAAUUUAUCUCGCGCGUAAUUUGCGCGGCGAAAAAUAAUUUGUCCUUCGUCUUUCGACAUUUGUUCUUUGUGGUUGUUUCGUUUCUCCAACAUCACGUUUCUUUUCCGAAUAUUAAACUUGGUUGUCGCGUUUUAAGUUUUGUUUAUUUGCAGUACAACUACGAAAGAAUAUGGUUGUUGACGCAUCAAAGGUUACGGAAAAGGAAGCAACACAAACUGAAACAAGUGAACAAGACUUGGAGAAUGAAUACGCCAUCAAUCUUGCAAAUGGAAAGAAAAAUCUACUCUGUGGGGAUUUUCCUGAGGCAGUAGCUUGUUUCCAAGCCACAUCGGCACUUCAAUCGGAAAGAUUUGGUGAAACAUCGCAUGAAUGUGCCGAGUCAUUCUAUUUCUAUGGUAAGGCAUUGCUGGAGUUGGCACGAGUUGAAAAUGGGGUGCUCGGAAAUGCUUUGAAAGGAGUUCCACAAGUUGAAGAAGCUUCAUCAGAAUCCGAAGGAGAAGGAAACCAGUUUGAAAAAACAAAGAAUUUACCAGUUGAAAAACGAAAAGAAUUAAGAGAGGAAGUGGUGGCUGCCAUGGCAACAGAGAAUGAAGAUGAGGACACACAAGAUGAGAGUGAAAAAGAUGACAAAGAUGAGAAAAAGGAAAAAGAUGAAAACCAGGAGAAAAAAGAUGAAAACAAAGAGAAAAAAGAUGAAAACAAAGAGAAAAAAGAUGAAAACAAGGAGAAAAAACAUGAAAACCAGGAGAAAAAAGAUGAAAAUGAGAAAGAAGAGAUGGAAUGCUCGGAAGAUAAACCAACCACAGAAGUACCUGAUGCAAAGCAAAAAGAGUCAAAAGAUGAUUCAACAAAGAAGAGUGAAGACACAAAGAAGGAAGAAAAACCAGCAGAUACUUCAGAUGUUCCCAUGGAAGCUGAUGAACCAAGCACAAGUGGGGGAGUUAAAGAUGAAGAUGUUAAAGAUGAAGACACCGAGGAUCCUGAUGAUGUUCCCAACAUGCAACUCGCGUGGGAGAUGUUGGAACUUGCUAAAGUUCUUUACCAAAAAAAACCGAAAAGUGAAGAUAAUUCUCUUCUGGUUGCGCAAUGUCAUUCGAAAUUAGGAGAGUUGGGACUUGAAGUUGAAAAUUAUUCUCAAUCCAUCGGGGACUUCCUUGAGUCGUUGGUCAUUCAUAAGGAACUUCUUGCAAAACAUGAUCGUAGAUUGGCAGAGACACAUUAUAACCUAGGUCUUGCAUAUACGUUCGAUAAGCGAUAUGAUAAUGCAUUGGAACAUUACACAGCUUCAUUGAAUGUCUUGGAUGCAAGAAUGGAAUACCUAAAUGAACGAAUUGAUGAAAACGACCGCAAGAAGGAAAAUCAAAGUGAAACAUUGGCUGAAUGUGCUGAGAUAGGAGAGAUCAAAGAUCUUCUGCCCGACAUUAACUCAAAGAUUGAGGAUGUGAUAAUCAUGAAGCGACAGGAAGGUAGAUUGGACGGCUCACCAUUCAGAACUCCUUCAAGUGCAGGUGCAGGUGGAAUUGGAAGCAAACGAUAUUGCUGCUGAAAAGAAUCUGCUGCAACAGAAAUCCCGAAAAGUCCGAUGAAACAAGCAACCAAUGAUAUUUCUCAUCUUGUUCGUAGAAAGCGUUCCUCACCCGAUGAUGAAUCGAAUGGAGUUUCAAAUGAAACUGCUUCAACCAAGAAAAUGAAGCAAGAAAAUGAACCAACUGCUGUCAUUCAAAGCAAUGGAAACCACAAUUCUGUGAAGGAAGUUACUGCGAAUGGAAGCAAUGAAAAGUGAGCCAGGAUUUAAAGUUCUUUCAUGCUGAUUAAAAACAGUUCCAUUUUUUUUUCUACCACUGCCAUUUGUUUGUACAUUGCGUUCUCCCAAUAAAUUGUGUUUAACUGCAU